CGUGUAGGCGGGUGCGUAAGUCCGGUGUGAAUGCCCUCGGCUCAACCGAGGAAUGCCAUUGGAAACUGCGUGCCUUGAGUGCGGGAGGGGAGAGUGGAACUCUUGGUGGAGCGGUGAAAUGCGUAGAUAUCAAGAGGAACGCCAGUGGCGAAAGCGACUCUCUGGCCCGUUACUGACGCUGAGGCGCGAAAGCCAGGGGAGCGAACAGGAGUAGAUACCCUGGUAGUCC
Molecule: ribosomal RNA, 229 nt
Filed under: uncultured bacterium
Lineage: Bacteria
Description: partial 16S ribosomal RNA
Rfam family: Bacterial small subunit ribosomal RNA
Source: RNAcentral